Linepithema humile (Argentine ant) is the source of this 489-nucleotide long non-coding RNA. RefSeq lists it as uncharacterized. Lineage: Eukaryota; Metazoa; Arthropoda; Insecta; Hymenoptera; Formicidae. The record is from RefSeq and is a predicted model, not a curated record.
ACGAAAGAACGAUCGCUAUCUUCUACGCUGUUGUCUUUUGGCCGACCACAGUAACAGAUGUUUCCUGAAUUCGCAAUUUACUUAGGCACGUACGAUUAGGCGAGGAAUUUAGCGAAUUCUAUUCUUCUAAAGAAAAGAAAUCUAUCAGAGCUUGAGAAGGAGAUAUUAUAUUGAUUGUAACUGCUGGAAUUUCAAUCAAAACCACACACGAGAUGAUGAGUUUAAAAUAAACUUUUUAUUCAUACUUAUUGUCCUUAACAUGUUAAGCAUGGGAUAUCUAUGCCCUGCAAAGAAAGAUAAUCCGCCUCCUAAAGUGAUACCUAAAUAUUGUAGCCUUCCAGCUGACAGCGGUUCUUGUUUCACAGAAGAAAUGGUAUGGAGAGCAGGAUUUAAAUGGAGAUAUCAUUAUUGGCCACCAACAAAAGAUUGUUAUAUUUUCCAGUACGGGGGUUGCGAAGGAAAUAAAAAUAAUUUCGUAGAUUAUGGAGA